This is a long non-coding RNA of Zingiber officinale, 909 nucleotides long. RefSeq lists it as uncharacterized. NCBI's taxonomy places the organism in Eukaryota, Viridiplantae, Streptophyta, Magnoliopsida, Zingiberales, Zingiberaceae. The record is from RefSeq and is a predicted model, not a curated record. The transcript is spliced from 3 exons.
AAAAUUCUUGUUCCUUUCUCCUCUUCCUCCCGACGCGAGCGGCGUUUCUGUGCUUGGGCGGAAUCGAAGCCGAGUUAGGUUCCCUCCUCCGGCGGCCGGCGAAGGCUUCUUCCGGCGAACCUUGCGGAUCCGAGCUUCUUUCGUCGAAGAGAGCCCGCGGACACAGAAGAAGCGCUGAGAUUUGAGCCCUCCGAAAACCCUAAGAGCCUUCUCCUUCCUCCUUCUCGGUUGUAAGUGCAAGAACAAGGGUUCCGAGAGGAUUAUGUUUUGGAUGGCUACAGAUUUUGGGCUGUGGGAGAUGAUGAGGUUAGGGAUCUUAGAACAAGUUCAUAACACUUCUUGUUUUGUGUCAAUCGGAUGCAACAGAAUUGGGGAAUUUAGAGUUGCCUUACAAGAAAGGAGUGAAGCUGUGAAUUUUGAUGUUUAUGCUUGUUUUAGCUUUACAGUAAGUUGAAUCUGACCUUAUGCAAAGAAAAUGAAUGAAGAACCGGAUUAUGUUUUUCUAAUAGCAAGUGCAGAACCGGAUUAUAUUUUGCCUAUUAGCAAGUGCAAACUUAGUCUAGUUUCUUUAAACAAGUGUAGAAUCGUUUAUAUUGUAGUGUUGUUUCUAAUAGCAGUGCAAAUUUGGUUGCUUGUUUAUUUUAUAAACUUGAGCAAUUUUAUUGUUAUGUUAGUAAGUGCAGAAUACAUCCUUAAUGUCAUUAGAAGCAACCUUUCCUUAUACUUUGCUUAAUUGGAGAUAAUCCAACAUGAGUAGAUUUUAGUGAUACAUGCUUUAGUAUAUCAUGCGUAGAUGUUUGAUAACAGCAGUAUCCCUUCUUAUAUCUCGGUUUCCAUGAAAGGUGCUUAUUUCCAAUUAUGUUAAGGAUUAUAGCAUGUAGUAGUAUGCUGAUUGAGUUUUCCUUGCCA